CGCGUAGGUGGCGGCAUAAGGCUGUGGUGAAAGUCUGGGGCUCAACUCCAGAUCGGCCGCGGCGACUGUGUCGCUUGGGCACCGUAGAGGCAGAUGGAAUUCCGGGUGUAGCGGUGGAAUGCGUAGAGAUCCGGAAGAACACCAGUGGCGAAGGCGGUCUGCUGGGCGGUGAGCUCGCGAGAGCUCAAUAGCCGACACUGAGGCGCGACAGCGUGGGGAGCAAACAGGAUUAGAUACCCUGGUAGUCCACGCCGUAAACGAUGGGCACUAGGUGCUCCGGGGAGCGACCCUUGGAGUACCGGCGCUAACGCAUGAAGUGCCCCGCCUGGGGAGUACGGCCGCAAGGCUGAA
This 351-nucleotide ribosomal RNA is filed under the name uncultured Gemmatimonadota bacterium. RNAcentral describes it as "bacterial SSU rRNA". It matches the Rfam family "Bacterial small subunit ribosomal RNA", at positions 568 to 898 of the family's 1533-position model. The record is from RNAcentral. Lineage: Bacteria; Pseudomonadati; Gemmatimonadota.